AUGGCUGCACGUUUCUUCAUGGAUGGUAUGUGUAACUUUGUUACGCUAAAAGUUGGAUAUUCUACCUGUGGGAAGAAUAUGUUUGUUGACUGUGUUAUCAGUAGAUCUGACCACACAUGCACUACACCAGUAAUACACAACAUUACCUACACCCAGAGGUAAACACAUCUACUGAUAACACAGUCAACAAACAUAUUCUUCCCACAGGUAGAAUAUCCAACUUUUAGCGUAACAAAGUUACACAUACCCACCAUGAAGAAACGUGCAGCCAUCCUCACAAUAGGUAGAACACCUGACACUAAGUUAAGGUUCACGACACACUAGCUGCACCUGACAUCCUAGCUCAAUAGUAGUUGUAACACAUGCUAGGAAAACCCACAGCAGCCUUGUUUUGUUUUGUUCUUCUUUUACCUAUCCUUCUCCUUCCCCUCUUUCCUGAGUAGGUGAAACGCCUAGACACCCUGCGAUGGGUCGAAGGUCUGAUAUUAGGAUUGACUCGCAACACCUAAUAUCCGCCAGCCACUCUAAACUGAAUGGAAGCCAGAGAGCUCCAUGCAUGAUAGGUCAAUUCAUUGAAUUGAAAAUGAAAUUACUAGAAAACUAAUGGUAAACAUGUAAAGUAAGACAACCUAGAAGAACCAAACAAAGUUAACCACAAAUUUGAUUGAUGAAUCAAAAUAAAAACAAUUUCCAAGACGAUCUAAACUAUCCUCAAUGUGCUAAACUACAUUGACUAAUUGAACUUAACCACGUCUACCUAAAUAACCUGAUGCCUGCACCAGUACAGUAACUGUCAUGGAGGUGUUGUCUUGCUGUUUGCUGUGUUUGUAUGCUUCUUCUGCCUUUGUUUCUCCAGCGAUCGACGAUGUCUUCACCUAAACACCUCGCCGAUCGAAAGGGGGAUAUAUGUAGCAGAAAUGAGUCAAAUCAGACAAAUCAAAGAGUCUAUCAGAGCUGUGUGCAUUGAAACAUGAGCUGAAUUCCUCAGGAAGUCAUAAAUCAGUUCUAGUGCCACAAGAACCAAGCAAGAUAACCAACCAACCAACUUGUUCACACAACAGCUUUCAACAUUAACACCAAUAGAACAAUUAUUGACAAUUUUAAUUCGAAGAAGAGAUUGUCAAAUUUAUUGUUCGUGAUUGGAAUGCAACGCUGGACAUCACAUGUAAACCCAGGAGAUCAAGUUAAAUACUUGCAUUGACUUCCCCCCCCCCCAGCCAGUGAAACCAGACUGAAAUUCCUAAGGGGGAAGGGCUUUAAACCUUUGUCUUCACAGAAAAGUCCUUUGCCAGAGAAUGGCAAAGAAACCCUUUUUAUACAUUAUAUAUGGACCAGAAUGAAUUCAAAAAAGACUCAUGAAUGAAUCAUUCCAUUGCUUAACUCCAUAUUCAUUUACGUGUAACCCACACAUUUGACUAUCAUGUAUAAUCACUUAUUGUGUAUGUCUUUUGAUAACUAUAGGAUACCUAGUCAUGUCUAGUAUUGAAAUAAUCGCAUUUUCUUGCUUGAUAUUGUCCUGACAAUCAUUUAUUUGUAAAAUAUAUCAUAAUCAUGUUAUAGGAAUCAUGUCCAAAAUUAGACCCUGUGAGGCAAGAACCAC
RNAcentral lists this long non-coding RNA (1600 nucleotides) under Carassius auratus (goldfish). RNAcentral's name for it is "lncRNA (ENSCARG00000052681.1)". Lineage: Eukaryota; Metazoa; Chordata; Actinopteri; Cypriniformes; Cyprinidae. The record is from RNAcentral.